Molecule: long non-coding RNA, 885 nt
Filed under: Homo sapiens (human)
Lineage: Eukaryota; Metazoa; Chordata; Mammalia; Primates; Hominidae
Description: HSALNT0000520
Source: RNAcentral
GGCCCUGGUGCUCGGUGUCCUGGGCCUGAGUCUUGGCUCACCAAGAGCCCGCACAGCCGAGUGCCGGCCCAACCGUGACCGCUCUGAGGAGAAGGCGGCAGCCACAGGGCAAGGAGCUGCUCGGGUGCCCUAGGACGGCAGUGGUCCCUGCAUGAACCCAAGCGGGGCCACUUGAGUGCCAAGAGGAAGGGAGACUAAAGUGACUGGAACACACCAAAUACUCAAACACUGGUGAGCCUAUGAAGAAACUGAGAGGAAAACACUUCUCUCUCUGCCACCAUCGGUGACUCUCAUCCCAACCCCUCUCCACGGCGACACGCGGUGAAGGAGGAAGCACGCGACAGAGAAAGUUACACAGGAGAUAAUGACGUCCCCACUGUCCUCUGGGAGAUGCUCGUGCUGCCGUAGCUGCCACUCUGGAGUCCAGCCUGGACGGGGCUGGCCGCAGAGGGCUUCACACUCGCGGCUGAGCCAGGAGCCGUUUGCUGUGUGGCAGGUGCGGUGCGAGCUGACCAAUUACUCGGCGGGGGCCGGGGGGACAAUGAUGUGUGGGUUCCUGGUUUACUGGAGAUGCAUGCUGAAGUUUCUGAGGGUGGAGUGUUGACAUUUUACUAAUGUACUUUGAAAUGGAUCAGCAACAACAGAUAUAGCAGUUGAUGGACCAAGCAAAGGUGUCCGAGGCCGACAAUGUGGAGUCUGGGAGGAUGCGGGGUCCGGGUUGCAGCGCGUGGAGCCUUGUUCUGCUGUUCUGUUUUCCUCUAUGCUUGAAAUUUUUCUUAGUUAAAAAGAAUCAGGCGGGAUCCCCCCAAGAGCUGCAGAUGAAUGUUAAGUUUUCCUGAGCCACAGGCCCUGCAGUCUGGGCUCCACACAGAGCAGGGUUUGUCU